RNAcentral lists this ribosomal RNA (398 nucleotides) under uncultured bacterium. RNAcentral describes it as "bacterial SSU rRNA". It matches the Rfam family "Bacterial small subunit ribosomal RNA", at positions 28 to 429 of the family's 1533-position model. The record is from RNAcentral.
GACGAACGCUGGCGGCGUGCUUAACACAUGCAAGUCGAGCGGUAAGGCCCUUUCGGGGGUACACGAGCGGCGAACGGGUGAGUAACACGUGGGUGACCUGCCUUUAGCUCUGGGAUAAGCCUGGGAAACCGGGUCUAAUACCGGAUAUGACUCCGCGGCGCAUGUUGUGGGGUGGAAAGCCUUGUGCGGCUGGAGAUGGGCCCGCGGCCUAUCGGCUUGUUGGUGGGGUGAUGGCCUACCAAGGCGACGACGGGUAGCCGGCCUGAGAGGGCGACCGGCCACACUGGGACUGAGACACGGCCCAGACUCCUACGGGAGGCAGCAGUGGGGAAUCUUGCGCAAUGGGCGAAAGCCUGACGCAGCGACGCCGCGUGAGGGAUGACGGCCUCGGUUGUAAC